RNAcentral lists this ribosomal RNA (251 nucleotides) under uncultured bacterium. RNAcentral describes it as "partial 16S ribosomal RNA". It matches the Rfam family "Bacterial small subunit ribosomal RNA", at positions 525 to 775 of the family's 1533-position model. The record is from RNAcentral.
ACGGAAGGUCCGGGCGUUAUCCGGAUUCAUUGGGUUUAAAGGGAGCGUAGGCCGCGCGUCAAGCGUGCCGUGAAAUGCCGUGGCUCAACCAUGGCACCGCGGCGCGAACUGUCGCGCUUGAGUGGGCUCGAGGCAGGCGGAAUUCGUGGUGUAGCGGUGAAAUGCUUAGAUAUCACGAGGAACCCCGAUUGCGAAGGCAGCCUGCCAGCGCCGCACUGACGCUGAAGCUCGAAGGCGUGGGUAUCGAACAG